AACGAACGCUGGCGGCAUGCCUAACACAUGCAAGUCGAACGAUCCCUUCGGGGAUAGUGGCGCACGGGUGCGUAACGCGUGGGAACCUGCCCUUAGGUUCGGAAUAACUCAGAGAAAUUUGAGCUAAUACCGGAUAAUGUCUUCGGACCAAAGAUUUAUCGCCUUUGGAUGGGCCCGCGUUGGAUUAGCGAGUUGGUGGGGUAAAGGCCUACCAAGGCGACGAUCCAUAGCUGGUCUGAGAGGAUGAUCAGCCACACUGGGACUGAGACACGGCCCAGACUCCUACGGGAGGCAGCAGUGGGGAAUAUUGGACAAUGGGCGAAAGCCUGAUCCAGCAAUGCCGCGUGAGUGAUGAAGGCCUUAGGGUUGUAAAGCUCUUUUACCCGGGAUGAUAAUGACAGUACCGGGAGAAUAAGCCCCGGCUAACUCCGUG
RNAcentral lists this ribosomal RNA (433 nucleotides) under uncultured bacterium. RNAcentral's name for it is "partial 16S ribosomal RNA". It matches the Rfam family "Bacterial small subunit ribosomal RNA", at positions 29 to 507 of the family's 1533-position model. The record is from RNAcentral.